CAAAGUCUUUUCUUUAUGGGCUUGAUACAUUUUCUUCUUGGGUUCUUUACCAGUCCUCUGCUUGAUGGUUGUAUCAGUGUCCUGGGACUGCCACAGUCCCAAUGGCUUAAGACAACAGAGAUUUAUUCUCUCACUGUCUGGAGGUCAGAAGUCCAAAAAUCAAGGUAUUGCAUGGCCACACCAUCUCCAGGGCUGUAGGGAAGACUCUUUCCUCGACUCUCCCAGUUUUUGGAGGCUACUGGAAGUUUUGA
RNAcentral lists this long non-coding RNA (251 nucleotides) under Marmota monax (woodchuck). Lineage: Eukaryota; Metazoa; Chordata; Mammalia; Rodentia; Sciuridae. The record is from RNAcentral.